Long non-coding RNA from Hevea brasiliensis (rubber tree), 1403 nucleotides. RefSeq lists it as uncharacterized. The transcript is spliced from 2 exons. Lineage: Eukaryota; Viridiplantae; Streptophyta; Magnoliopsida; Malpighiales; Euphorbiaceae. The record is from RefSeq and is a predicted model, not a curated record.
UGUCCGGAUAAGCCUUUAAGGAAGAAAAUGGUCAUUGUCGUCUCACCAUUCCUAGAACAAGCAUCUUAGAUCUUUCAAAGCGAAAUUUUUAACUUGCAUUUGAUAAGAAUAUGAUUUAGGCAUUCCUUUAUAUUUUAAACCUCACAUUUAGCCUUAACCUACCUCAAUUUCAUUUUAACCCUUGCAAACCCCCUUGAACCUUAAUCUCCUAAUUUCUUUGGAACCCAAAUCAUUUACCUAGCCAUUAAACCUAAACACUACCACCUAUCUAUGAGAAUAGUAUUUUAGCAAUUAAGUGCAUAAAAAAAUGAUAAUGAUAUAAAAAAAUAAUAAUAAUAAUAAUAAUAAAAUAAUUAAAAAAAAAAAAAUCUCGGAGGAUUGAAACAUCUUGAAAAGUGCUAGAGUAAUUGUCAAAAGUUGAAAAGGUCACCAAAAUAUCCCAAAGGUAAUUUUGGGUGUGACAUGAAAUAGAGACACAUACAAAAUCAAAAUAAAAUAAAAUAAAAUAAGCAUAAAAAAAUAGUCCCUUUGUAUAAUCAUUGUGAUAGCACUUGAGAUUCAUUGUGAAUUUCUUUCCUCUUGAUAUAAAAAAAAAAAAAAAAAUAUUGGAUGCACUUUGAGUUUCAUGAUUAAUAUUAUUCUCAUAUUUUGUUUACCUUAUUCCCUUUCUUUGUUAACCACAAUUUUACCCUAUUAGACCCCAUUACAACCCUUAAAAAGACCUAAUGAUUCUUUGAAAAAUGCUUGUUACAUUAGUAGAGUUAGAUCUUUUAUGCUUGCAUAUGGGUUUGGCAAUAUAAUCUUCCAUACAUUACUCACCAUCUAUUUGAGACACAUUGGCUAUCUAUUUCAUUUAGGUUUGUUUUGGCACAAUUGACUCUUGUAGUUGGUUGGUAUUUGUUGCUUGGGUUGAUUGGUUAAUUCUUAGCUAUUCUGUAAUAGUUGAGAGUGCUUGCUUCAUUCUUUGUGCUUUUGCUGGUGGGAAUUUGGAAUGUUGGUGGCUAGAGGUAAGUUGGUGGUUUGGAUUAGUGAAUUUUGUGUUUUCAAAGACUGAUUCUAUUCCCUUCCAAAUGAGUUUUAAUGAAAUUUUGCUUGAGGACAAGCAAGAGUUUGAGUAUGGGGGAAUUUGAUGCAUGCAUUUUAUAUCAUCAUUUAGGAGUUAAAUCUGGAGAAAUUUGAUGUAUUUUGAUCAGAGUAGCCAUUUGGAGGAGAUUAAAAUCGAAUUGCAAAAAAAAAUUUUGAAGUUGAGAAAAAAAAUGGCCGAGAGCGACACAACCCGCGACACAACUGACUCGGCUUAUGUCGUUUUUACUGGAAAAUUUUUUGACGUGGCAUUUCCGUUACUCCAGCCUUUUUACCUCACUUUUUCUAGAUCCUUCCCCCUUUUACCCAUUCUAGAACAA